CAAAAUGAAAGAAAAUGGUUGAGUCAAUGAUGUGCUACUAUGCUGCUACGCUUAUACCAACCACUUGUAGGGUGCAUUUCUGUAAAUAUUGACAAUGCAAUUUCCCAUAGGAACUCCUUUUACGGCUAAAACUGUACCACUUAUACUAUGAAGUUUUGAAAAAAAUCUUAUCCUAGAAUUGAAAGUUCAUACGCACCACAUUUUUUUUUCAAAGGUCAAAAUAUAGGGCUGUGCGGCAUAUUUUCAACGUUUAUAUGCCCUGAACUUCUCAGAGAUUAAACUAACACUAAUUUUCUUAAAUAUCCCUACCUCGAAUGAAAGGUUACCACAGAUUUCAAUGUAAACGAUAUGCACAUGUUUAUUUACUGGUAACAUUCCCAAGUUAUGUCUCUGUGAGAUGCAACACAGAGAGCAUAACUGGGAACCAGUAUGUUAACAAAAUUAAUUUUCUAUGAAUAUUCAAGAUCUCCCCAAAAGAGGCGUGUUUUGAGAAACAGCUGUAUUUACAAAGUGCAACCUGUAG
This 523-nucleotide long non-coding RNA is filed under the name Mytilus galloprovincialis (Mediterranean mussel). The record is from RNAcentral. Lineage: Eukaryota; Metazoa; Mollusca; Bivalvia; Mytilida; Mytilidae.